CUACCGGCGUCGAAAGGUGUCGGGAUGGGGCGGCAGAAGUCAGCACACGCCGUAGUAGCCGGACCAACCGGUGAAGGGC
This is a non-coding RNA of Rhizobium yanglingense, 79 nucleotides long. NCBI's taxonomy places the organism in Bacteria, Pseudomonadati, Pseudomonadota, Alphaproteobacteria, Hyphomicrobiales, Rhizobiaceae. The record is from Rfam.